AUGGAAUCUUUGUCUCUCUAUAUAUGUUCCUGUCUCUCCUUCUCCCUCCCCCUCUCCCCCUCUCCCCAUCUCCCCCUCUCUCUCUCCCCCUCUCUCUCUCCUUCUCUCUACAGAGAUUCUCAGGUAAUUUAUUCUGACAGGACCCCUCCUGUCAGCAGAAGGUCAUCAGAACCUUCCGGAACGGAAUCCCCCGUUUGUAAGAUAUCUAGAGAAGAACUGGAAGCUUCCUUGGAUGAAGCCACAUUGAAGACAUCAUCUAAAGACGAGCCGGACUAUUCUUCUGUGGACAACAGUGCUCCAAGGAAAAUGCAAAGAGUCAAAAGUGAGACUUCCAUGGACCCCCCCGCCGACGCAGCAGCCACAAAGGUCUUGGGUCGUUCGAUAGACAACGUCUCAAGGAAGUCAUUCAGAGACGAGUGUCACGAGGUUCCGUUGGAGACUCACGUCUCAAAGAAGAGGUCUCUUCUAUCUAGAGACGUGAUCGGUGUGUCUCUGGACACCGGCUCCAGGCAGAUGAUGAGAGAGAGCUGGGGAGAAGCCUCAUUCAACAACUCCAUGAGAGGAAGACCCAGAGAAGAAAUGGUGGCGGCCGUUGGAACCCCAACGAGAAGGAUAUCCCGAGAGGAGGUGGACUUCUUAGCCGACGGCGCUCAGAGGAGGAUGGCGAUGGCCAGAGACAAACUGACCCUUCAUCUGGACAGCAACUCUUCUCACAAGAUGCUCAGUAAGAAGAUGGAGUUCCCAGUGGAACCACCAUCUGCCGCCACGAGGAAGAUAUCGAUAGACGAACACCAUGAGAUGUGCUCUCACACUAGCAGACGAACAAACAGCGAUAAGGUUGACAGAUCCAUAGACACUCCCACUGGGAAGAUCUACCCGGACAGGGUCGACAGUACCCCAGAAAUCCCCAAACGGAGGAUAUCCAGGGAGGAGUAUACGGUGUCGUCCCAGGUGGUUCACGAUCCCCAGGUUUUGGAUUGGGGUCAGUUCGGACAACCUGACCUCACCUUGUCCACACCAUGGAAACAAACCCAGACACCUGACCCUUAUACCUCCGACCACCUGACCGAACUGGUGUAUGACGGUAUUCUGGAGAAGUCCUGUAUCACCCCAGCAACGACCCCUGACCUGCCCCAGAGGAUCACGGAAGGAAGAGAGCGAGAAGGGAAUCCUCCUGUGCCGCCCCCGAGGAGCAGCCGGUCCCUAAACACGUUGCCCCCGGAGAUGAGAGGCGAGAGGCACCAAAAGGACAAAGACAAAAGCACGAAGUCGUCCAAACUCAAGAGCCUUUUUAAGAAGAGGAAAGAUCAUACCCCAGAACUGCCACAAGGGGGCCUGAACAAUCUCUGA
RNAcentral lists this long non-coding RNA (1350 nucleotides) under Oncorhynchus mykiss (rainbow trout). RNAcentral describes it as "lncRNA (ENSOMYG00000067453.1)". The record is from RNAcentral. Lineage: Eukaryota; Metazoa; Chordata; Actinopteri; Salmoniformes; Salmonidae.